CAGAACUUCCUUUCUUCUAACUUUCUUCACACCAUCCAUUCCCUUAUAUCAACAAUAGCAACGAAUGCCACCAACAGAACCCAGAGCAAUAGUAACUUAGGAAUCUAAGACCUCAUGGCUUGAAUGGAUGUGCACUCUUUUUUACUUUCAUUUUGCACAGCCACUGAGUGGUGGCUUUGCUGCAUCUUCAUACUCAUCCCAACAAUUAAGUCAUUUCUACGUUUUCUCUCUUCAUUCUUCCUCAUUUAUCUCCAUCCUUAAUAACCCCAUUUUAAAGUUGCACAUAGAGAUACACAAAUAUAAGAUCACUUCUUCUGAAAACAAAACCAACAAUUAUUCAAGAACCCCAGUUCAACAACCAUGUCUGUGUUUAAAUGCAAGCCGAAAAACUAAAAAAUGAAAAUCCUAAAAAUUACUCAUGACACUCUUCAAAAUAAAAAAAGAACAACAGAAUCACAAAAUGCAAGAGCGAUUAAGGUACUCCGGGUCUAUCAAUGCUAAAAAACUCUUCCAUUUCUUCCAAGAGCAAAUAAGGAUUUAAAUUAACUUUAAAAGACCAUAGGAAAAGGACAUCAUAAUAACAACACAAAUAUAAGAGUGUAAUAGUAACAUGGAGGGAAUUUUAAAAAGUAACAAAAUGCAAAAUUUUAGAGAUGAAAUGAGUAUUCAUAGAUUUGUUUUUUAAAAAAUUACCAAAGGUGGAUCUUAUUUAUUUUUAUAUAUCCCUUACUUUUAAGCCUAACUAACUGAAGACGUAUCAAAAGACAAAAAUCGAAACACAUUUACUCUGAACAAUCGUUGAUACAUUUCGCGAGGAGUAGAAAGUAGAAAAUAGAAUAACCAAAGCAUGGACAUGGUUUAACACUGACAGUAAAUUGAUGCAGAAGCAUCUUUGUCCUCUGGUCACACAUACUGCCCAGAAAUUCCUUUCUUCUAACUCUCUUAGCACCAUCUCAUUCUCCUUGUAGAUGGGAUGGUGUUAAGAGAGUUAGAAGAAAGGAAUUGGUGGCUCUGGUGCAUCUUCAUACUCAACCCAACAAUUAAGUCAGUCUCUACCUUUUCUCAGUCCCUUCUUCCACUUUUAUCUCCUUCCUUAAUAACCUCAUAUUAAAGUUGCACAUAGAGAUACACAAAUAUAAGAUCACUUCUUCUAAAAACAAAACAAACAAUCAUUCAAAAGAACCCCAGUUAAACAACCAUGUGUGUGUUUAAAUGCAAGCCAAAAGAACUAAACAAUAAUAAUCCUCAAAAUGACCCACAUCAUAAAAAAAAAAAAACAACACAAUCAGUGAAUGCAAACCUAAACAGUUCGUGGAAUUUCCUGAGGAAAUAACCUCUGCUUUCAUCGGCGAUUCAGGUACUCCCUACAACUUAACCCAACAAUUAAGUCAGUCUUUACCUUGAUUCUUCUCCCUUCUUCCACCUUUAUCUCCUUCCUUAAUAACCUAAUAUUAAAGUUGCACAUAGAGAUACACAAAUAUAAGAUCACUUCUGAAAACAAAACCAACACUUAUUCAAGAACCUCAGUUUUAACAAACAAGUGUGUGUGUUUCAAUGCAAGGGAAACAACUAAAAAGUAAAAAUCCUAAAAAUUACACACGACACUCUUGAAAAUAAAAAAAAGAACAGAAUCACAGAAUGCAAACCUGAAAAGUUCGUGGAAUUUCCAAGGAAAUAACCUCUGUUUUCUUUGACGAUUAAGGUACUACAGAUCUAUCAAGGCUAAAAAACUCUUCCAUUCCUUCAACUUAAACCAAGAGCGAAUAAGUAUUCAAACUUAAAAACUACAGAAAAAGGACAUGAUAAUUAUAAUACAAAUAUAAGAGUUGUAAUAGUAACAUGAAGGAAAUUUUAAAAUUAACAAAACACAAAAUUUUAUAGAUGAAAUGAGUAUUUAUAGAUUUGAUUGUUCAAAAAUUACCAAAGAUGGAUCUUAUUUAUUUUGAUAUAUGUUUAUAUAAAUAUCUUAAGUAAAAGGACAUGAAAGUAAAAAUGAGAAUGGCCAAAGCAUGGACAUGGUUUAACACUGACACUAAAUUGACGCAGAAGAAUCUUUGUCCUUUGGUCACACAAUACUCCCUAGAACUUCCUUUCUUAUAACUUUGAAUGGAUGCACAUUCUUUUUUACUUUCUAUUUUUCCCAUUAAACCUUACAACCACUGACUGGUGGCUCUGCAGCAUCUUCAUACUCAACCCAACAAUUAAGUAUGUCUCUAACUAUUCUCUCUCCCUUCUUCCUUCUUUAUCUCCUUCCUUAAUAACCUCAUAUUAAAGUUGCACAUAGAGAUACACAAAUAUAAAAUCACUUAUUAUGAAAACAAAACCAACAAUCAUUCAAUAACACCAGUUCAACAACCAUGUGUGUGUUUAAACGCAAGCCAAACAAACUAAAAAAUAAUAAAAAUGACCUAGGACACACUCCAAAAUAAAAAAGGAACAACACAAUCACUGAAUACAAACCUGAACAGUUCGUGAAAUUUCCGAGGAAAUAAGCUUUGCUUUCAUUGGCGAUUCAAGUACUCGAGAUCUAUCAAGGCUAAAAAACUCUUCCAUUCCACUUAUAUACUUAAUGCGAAUAUGGAUCUAAAUUAACUUUAAAAAUCCAUAGAAAAAUGACAUGAUAAUUACAAUAUAAAUAUAGGAGAGUAAAAAUAACAUGGAGGGAAUUUUAAAAAGUAACAAAUCACAGAAUUUUGGUGAUGAAAUGAGUAAAUAUAGUGGAAAGUGGAAAUCAGAAUGACCAAAGCAAGGACAUGGUUUAACACUUGACACUAAAUUGAUGCAGAAGCAUCUUUGUCCUCCGGUCACACACACGGCCCAAAACUUCCUUUCUUCUAACUUUGUUAACACCAUCAAUUCCCUUGUCGAUUAACAAUACAAACCAGUGCCACCAACAGAACCCAGAGAAAUAGUAAUUUAGGAAUCCAAGCUCUCUUAGCUUGAGUGGAUGUGCACUCUUUUUUACUUUCAAUUUGCCCAUUAGACCUUACAGCCCCUAGGUGGUGGCUCUACUGCAUCUUCACCUUCACACCCAUCCCAACAAUUAAGUCAUUUCUACUUUUUCUCCGUCCCUUCUUCCUCCUUUAUCUCCUUCCUUAAUAACCUCAUAUUAAAGUUGCUCAUAGAGAAACAAAAAUAUAAGAUCACUUCUUAUGAAAAUAAAACCAACAAUCAUUCAAUAACCCCUGUUCAACAACCAUAUAGUAUGAAAAGGCAGAGAGAGAGACUGAACCGAAAGGGAUGGCUUAUGGCCAAUUCGCUCCUAACGAACCCUUAAAAAGAAGAUUCAUUCUCCGAAGCUUGUCUAUUUCCCAACGCGCGUGAUUAAAUGCAAGCCAAAAAAAAAUAAUAAUAAUCCUCAAAAUUACCCAGGACACUCUCCAAAAUCAAAAAAGAACAACAGAAUCACAGAAUCCAAACCUGAACAAUUCGUGGAAUUUCUGAGGAAAUAAUCUGUGUUUCAUCGGCGAUUCAGGUACUCAAGAGAUCUAUCAAGGCUAAAAAACUCUUCCAUUCAACUUAUACCUAGAGCGAAUAAGGAUCUAAAUUAACUUUAAAAAACCAUAGAAAAAGGGCACGAUAAUUACAAUAUAAAUAUAAGAGUGUAUUAGUAACAUCGAGAGAAUUUUAAAAAGUACAAAUCACAUAAUUUUAGAGAUGAAAUGAGUAUUUAUAGAUUUAAUUUUUUUAAAAAAUACCAAAGAUGGAUCUUAUUUAUUUUGAUAUAUAUUGACCUAAAUAUCUUAAUUAAAAGGACAUGAAAAGCAAUGGGGGACUUUGGUUGCCAAAGGAGAAGCUUAUUACUUGUAGGACAAUCAAAUGUUUCUCUUUCACUAGCCCUUACUUCUUAAGCCUAACUAACCAAAACAACCCUAAAAAGGUAACCAAACUCCCCUAAUGCAAAUAACAUCGCACAACGCAUGACCAAAGAAAGAAAAAGAAGAAACUCAAAAUUUCAAAAAAAACAUAAUACAAAAUGCAAAACAAGCUAACGAUAAUAAAUCUAAAUUAAAGAUGUAUCAUCCCCCAACAAUGGACCCAAAAAAGAAAAAGAAGAAACUCAAAAUUUUGAAACAGUUCAAUAAGAAAUAAUCGACCAGAAAGGGUUCUUUAUGGACUGGAAGAAAUAGUAACACAAUUAUUUUUAACAAUCCAAUAGUGCAAAUAAAACUAAAAGAAUGUCGAAUAAAAGAGGGAAGGAACUUCUACUUACAUCGACGAUUCAAAGUACUCCCUACAACUUAAACCAAGUGCGAAUCAGGAUCUAAAUUAGCUUUCAAAAACCGUAGAAAAAGGAAAUGAUAAUUAAUAAGAGUGUAAUAGUAACAUGGGGGAAUUUUAAAAAGUAACCUAACCCAAAAUUUUAGAGAUGAAAGGAGUAUUUAUAGAUUUUAUUUUUAAAAAAUUACCAAAGAUGGAUCUUAUUUAUUUUGAUAUAUAUUUAUAUAAAUUUCUUAAGCAAAAGGACAUGAAGAGUAAUAGUGUAGACGUACCUGUUAACGAGGGACGAAUUUGGCUUCUGUAGGAGCAGCCUCUUUCUUUCCUAGAAAAAUGGUCAGAUGCUUGAGGAAAAGCUUAUUACUUGUUGGACAAUCAAAUGCUUCCCUUUCACAAGCCCUUACUCUUAAGCCUAACUAGCCACACCCCCCCCCCCCCCCCCCCCAAAAAAACAACCAUACACCCCUAAAAAAAACUAUGAAUCAUGACAUCAUGGUAAUUUCGAUCUGAGACAAGAAAAAUGAAUUAUCUCCCUUACUCUCAAGCCUAACUAACAGAGACGUAUCAAAAAUGAAAUCAAAAUGCAUUUACCUAGUCAAUUGUUGAUACAUUUUUCGAGUAGUGAAAAGUAGAAAUAAGAAUGGCCAAAGCAUGGACAACACUAACUUUGAUGCAAAAGCAUCUUUGUCCUUCUGGUCACAGAUACUGCCCAGAACAUCCUUUCUUCUAACUUUCUUCACACCAUCCAUUCCCUUAUAUCAACAAUAGCAACGAAUGCCACCAACAGAACCCAGAGCAAUAGUAACUUAGGAAUCUAAGACCUCAUGGCUUGAAUGGAUGUGCACUCUUUUUUUACUUUCAUUUUGCACAGCCACUGAGUGGUGGCUUUGCUGCAUCUUCAUACUCAUCCCAACAAUUAAGUCAUUUCUACGUUUUCUCUCUUCAUUCUUCCUCAUUUAUCUCCAUCCUUAAUAACCCCAUUUUAAAGUUGCACAUAGAGAUACACAAAUAUAAGAUCACUUCUUCUGAAAACAAAACCAACAAUUAUUCAAGAACCCCAGUUCAACAACCAUGUCUGUGUUUUAAAUGCAAGCCGAAAAACUAAAAAAUGAAAAUCCCAAAAAUUACUCAUGACACUCUUCAAAAUAAAAAAGAACAACAGAAUCACAAAAUGCAAGAGCGAUUAAGGUACUCCGGGUCUAUCAAUGCUAAAAAACUCUUCCAUUUCUUCCAAGAGCAAAUAAGGAUUUAAAUUAACUUUAAAAGACCAUAGGAAAAGGACAUCAUAAUAACAACACAAAUAUAAGAGUGUAAUAGUAACAUGGAGGGAAUUUUAAAAAGUAACAAAAUGCAAAAUUUUAGAGAUGAAAUGAGUAUUCAUAGAUUUGAUUUUUAAAAAAUUACCAAAGGUGGAUCUUAUUUAUUUUUAUAUAUCCACUUUUAAGCCUAACUAACUGAGACGUAUCAAAGACAAAAAUCGAAACACAUUUACCUGAACAAUCG
RNAcentral lists this long non-coding RNA (5721 nucleotides) under Cucumis sativus (cucumber). Its description in RNAcentral is "long non-coding RNA (CSAT_LNC001155)". Lineage: Eukaryota; Viridiplantae; Streptophyta; Magnoliopsida; Cucurbitales; Cucurbitaceae. The record is from RNAcentral.